CCUACGGGUGGCAGCAGUGGGGAAUAUUGGACAAUGGGCGAAAGCCUGAUCCAGCCAUGCCGCGUGUGUGAAGAAGGCCUUCGGGUUGUAAAGCACUUUCAGUGGGGAAGAAAGCCUUGGGGCUAAUACCCUCGAGGAAGGACAUCACCCACAGAAGAAGCACCGGCUAACUCCGUGCCAGCAGCCGCGGUAAUACGGAGGGUGCGAGCGUUAAUCGGAAUUACUGGGCGUAAAGCGCGCGUAGGCGGUCUGAUAAGCCGGUUGUGAAAGCCCCGGGCUCAACCUGGGAACGGCAUCCGGAACUGUCAGGCUAGAGUGCAGGAGAGGAAGGUAGAAUUCCCGGUGUAGCGGUGAAAUGCGUAGAGAUCGGGAGGAAUACCAGUGGCGGAGGCGGCCUUCUGGACUGACACUGACGCUGAGGUGCGAAAGCGUGGGUAGCAAACAGGAUUAGAUACCCGGGUAGUC
This 465-nucleotide ribosomal RNA is filed under the name Vreelandella stevensii. RNAcentral describes it as "partial 16S ribosomal RNA". It matches the Rfam family "Bacterial small subunit ribosomal RNA", at positions 338 to 795 of the family's 1533-position model. Lineage: Bacteria; Pseudomonadati; Pseudomonadota; Gammaproteobacteria; Oceanospirillales; Halomonadaceae. The record is from RNAcentral.